UCCUGGCUCAGGAUGAACGCUAGCUACAGGCUUAACACAUGCAAGUCGAGGGGCAGCGAGAGGAAAGCUUGCUUCCUGUCGGCGACCGGCGCACGGGUGAGUAACGCGUAUCCAACCUUCCCCAUAGUAGAGGAUAGCCCGGCGAAAGUCGGAUUAAUACUCUAUGUUGUGUCAUGAGGACAUCUGAAUAACACUAAAGAUUUAUCGCUAUGGGAUGGGGAUGCGUCUGAUUAGCUUGUUGGCGGGGUAACGGCCCACCAAGGCGACGAUCAGUAGGGGUUCUGAGAGGAAGGUCCCCCACAUUGGUACUGAGACACGGACCAAACUCCUACGGGAGGCAGCAGUGAGGAAUAUUGGUCAAUGGACGAGAGUCUGAACCAGCCAAGUAGCGUGCAGGAAUGACUGCCCUAUGGGUUGUAAACUGCUUUUAUGCGGGAAUAAAGUCAGGUACGUGUACCUGUUUGUAUGUACCGCAUGAAUAAGGACCGGCUAAUUCCGUGCCAGCAGCAGC
This 511-nucleotide ribosomal RNA is filed under the name uncultured bacterium. Its description in RNAcentral is "bacterial SSU rRNA". It matches the Rfam family "Bacterial small subunit ribosomal RNA", at positions 17 to 518 of the family's 1533-position model. The record is from RNAcentral.